AUUGAACGCUGGCGGCAUGCCUUACACAUGCAAGUCGAACGGUAACAGGUUAAGCUGACGAGUGGCGAACGGGUGAGUAAUAUAUCGGAACGUGCCCAGUCGUGGGGGAUAACGUAGCGAAAGCUACGCUAAUACCGCAUACGAUCUACGGAUGAAAGCGGGGGAUCGCAAGACCUCGCGCGAUUGGAGCGGCCGAUAUCAGAUUAGGUUGUUUGUGAGGUAAAAGCUCACCAAGCCUGCGAUCUGUAGCUGGUCUGAGAGGACGACCAGCCACACUGGAACUGAGACACGGUCCAGACUCCUACGGGAGGCAGCAGUGGGGAAUUUUGGACAAUGGACGCAAGUCUGAUCCAGCAAUGCCGCGUGCAGGACGAAGGCCUUCGGGUUGUAAACUGCUUUUGUACGGAACGAAACGGUGAGCUCUAAUACAGUUUGCUAAUGACGGUACCGUAAGAACAAGCACCGGCUAACUACGUGCCAGCCGCCGCGGUAA
RNAcentral lists this ribosomal RNA (493 nucleotides) under uncultured bacterium. Its description in RNAcentral is "partial 16S ribosomal RNA". It matches the Rfam family "Bacterial small subunit ribosomal RNA", at positions 30 to 523 of the family's 1533-position model. The record is from RNAcentral.